CCUACGGGUGGCAGCAGUGGGGAAUAUUGCACAAUGGGGGAAACCCUGAUGCAGCGACGCCGCGUGAGUGAAGACGUACUUCGUUAUGUAAAGCUCUAUCAGCAGGGAAGAAAAUGACGGUACCUGAGUAAGAAGCCGCGGCUAACUACGUGCCAGCAGCCGCGGUAAUACGUAGGGGGCAAGCGUUAUCCGGAUUUACUGGGCGUAAAGGGAGCGUAGGCGGCCUGCCAAGUCUGAUGGGAAAUACCGGGGCUCAACCCCGGGGGUGCAUUGGAAACUGGCAGUCUGGAGUUCCGGAGAGGCAGGCGGAAUUCGUAGUGUAGCGGUGAAAUGCGUAGAUAUUAGGAAGAACACCAGUGGCGAAGGCGGCCUGCUGGACGGCGACUGACGCUGAGGCUCGAAAGCGUGGGGAGCAAACAGGAUUAGAUACCCGGGUAGUC
RNAcentral lists this ribosomal RNA (440 nucleotides) under uncultured bacterium. RNAcentral describes it as "partial 16S ribosomal RNA". It matches the Rfam family "Bacterial small subunit ribosomal RNA", at positions 338 to 795 of the family's 1533-position model. The record is from RNAcentral.